Molecule: long non-coding RNA, 590 nt
Filed under: Prunus dulcis (almond)
Lineage: Eukaryota; Viridiplantae; Streptophyta; Magnoliopsida; Rosales; Rosaceae
Description: sRNA ncRNA
Source: RNAcentral
CCUCUCUUCUCUUCCUCUCUUCCUCCUUUCACCUCUUCCCCCAUUUUCAAAGACAAAUGGUUUUCCCUAUUUGUCUUAGUUUUGUUAUGAUUUUCAUCCAACCAUUAGUGGCGGCUGCGGCUCAGCGUCGGAUCUUCACUUACAUUUCGGCGUCAGAUCUCCACCACCAUAUUUUUUGCAAUUUCUUUAUGUUUGGAAUAAGUUGCAGAGACUCUUUGGGUUCUCUGUGUAGUUUUCACCUCUCCUUUUGUGAGAGUUUUUCAUCUCUCCUUUGUGAGAGCUUUUCAUCUCUCCUUUGUGAGAGCUUUUCAUCUCUCCUUUGUGAGAGCUUUUCAUCUCUCCUUGGUGAGAGUUUUAUUUGUAUUGUUAUGGCUUGAUUUUUUCAAGCUUUAUCUCUUUUUUAUUAUUCUAAGUUUGCAAUCUUAGUUGGGAUGCCUAUGCUAGAGUUUCUUUGAUCUUGCCUGAUCGUUGGUGGAGACAUACCUGAUUUUCUUAAUUUUGAUAUUAGACCGCUCCGUUAUUGUAAUGGCCCUUUUGUGGCUAGUUUGUAUUGGCCCUUUGUGGCUAGUGACUUUUUUGGCUGAAUUAUG